Molecule: long non-coding RNA, 333 nt
Filed under: Homo sapiens (human)
Lineage: Eukaryota; Metazoa; Chordata; Mammalia; Primates; Hominidae
Description: non-protein coding lnc-PMVK-5:1
Source: RNAcentral
UGUUCUAUUAAUGUGCCAGAGAUGAUUGCAUAAGUAAUGAAGGUAAAUGUCACUUAUAAAUUAUUCUAUUUUUCCAUAACGUUUAUUUUUCUUGCCUUUAUUUUAGAAAAUCACAAAUUAUAUUAAUUUGAUGAAGAUCUUCACCUAAUUUGUGUGCUGUUGAUAGUAAUGAUCUAGAUAAAAGUAUAAAAGUCAUUUUUUCUAAAAAGUAUAGAAUCUGAAUAUUUUUCAUUAAAAUAUACAUUGCAAUAAAUGUAAAACACUAAGAAAUUAAGGCUGGGCGAGGUAGCUUUGGGAGGCUUAAUUUUGGGAGGCCAAAAUUAAGCACUUUGG